Vicugna pacos (alpaca) is the source of this 1425-nucleotide non-coding RNA. Lineage: Eukaryota; Metazoa; Chordata; Mammalia; Artiodactyla; Camelidae. The record is from RefSeq and is a predicted model, not a curated record.
AAUGGCAGUGACCUUUUCAUGAAAAGUUUAUGAAAGAGGUAGAAGUUAUAAGAACUUAGACUGCAUUCUGAAGAAUUUGUUCACCACUAAACAAACGGUGAGAACUGUCUCCCCAAAGUGGGGGAUUUUGGAUAUCCUUUACAUAUAUAUAUAUAUGAAAAAACUUUUGAAAUAGUGUGGUCUUAGAAGUAGAUUGCUACACUGGACUACUGCAUAUAUUCUUUUUUCUUCGGUUUCCUACUGGCUUCAUGUGAGACUCUGGGAAAAUCUCUUGAGGAUUCUUUUAACUUCCAUUACUUUUAUCUCUGAGUAUUAUGACACAGCACAAAGGCAGCCACCUACCUGCCAGGAAGAGAGCCCCUUCGCCUGGAACUGAAUGGCUGACACCUUGCUCUUGGACUUCCCAGGCUCCAAAAUUGAUACAGGAGUCACUGCUGACCGCCCUGGAUGGUGGUUACCACACAGGUCUCAACACCUCUCCACCUCCUCCAGCUGCUUUCCUACUUCUACUCUGCACUUUCUACUGAGAAUUGUCUCUUGUGGGCUCCUCUGCCCAGUUGGACUCACUCUAGAAACAGAUGUAUGCUGAUUACUGCUCCGUGGAUUCCCAGAGUCUUCCCUGGCCCAGCACGAAAUCUUAUGUCUAUCAGUCGUGUCAAAUGCUUUGAAAAUAGAACAUCUGUCUCCUACUUCAAAAGUGCAUUUCUAACAAAUUCCACAAAACAGCAGUCUGUCAUGCCUGAUUCCGCCAGACACACGGCAUCAAUUUCUAAGAUUAUCCAGAUUUUAUUUUAACUGAUGCUUUUCAAUAAAAAAAAUCCAUCAUGGAUCUUUCUAUCUAACAGCUAUCCUAAACCCUUUCUGAAAAGAGGCAAGGUGUUAACACAGCUAAUUUGGAAUUAAAUUCUACACUUGGAAGAUUUUCCACUACCUAAAUUCGUAAGUCAGAAGAAAUCCUGGCUGGGUAGUGAUAAAUAGGGUUGCAUACAUAUGAGUCAUAGUCUUACUCAACGGGAACAGAGUGAAGAGUCCGUUGCUCAUAUAUGGCGGAAUCUAGAGUCAGAUGGCCCAAGCUGCACUCAUGAGCCAGAUAUAUCCUAGACCAGGGACCCUUGCACUGGGGGCUAGGAAUAUCUGGAGAGUAAAUGUGUGAAUCAGUCAGAUGUAAGAAACAGGAAGUGCUUGAAUCUACUGGGGACCAGAGUGGCUAUGCCCACCUAAAGGUGUUCCAAUUAAAAAAGAAAAAUUAAGCCAGAUGCUACCAGACAAAACAUGUGUACAAGCAUCAUUUGGCCAAUAACUGCCAGUUUGCAAAUUCUGAUCAAAGGGAAAAUAAAAUAAAAACCCUAAAGACCUCCACUGGGAACUUCAAAUCUAAUUAAAGAGAAAAUAUUGCUGAAAUAUUGAAAGACCAAAAAAAAAAUA